Molecule: unclassified non-coding RNA, 1207 nt
Filed under: Hevea brasiliensis (rubber tree)
Lineage: Eukaryota; Viridiplantae; Streptophyta; Magnoliopsida; Malpighiales; Euphorbiaceae
Source: RNAcentral
AUUUUAGAAUAAAUUAGCACCUCAAUUUGCUAAGGUGACAGAGGACCUUCUCACCUUAAGGGCGCCUAACGCUUUUAACAACACUGGAUUUUAGGACUAGGUUAAAAAACAGACGCAAUACUGGCGUUUUUGGAAUUGAAAUGAGUUCAGCAGAAGACAAAGAUGAUGCCAUGUUGACCUUUUUUUCCUGUGCUCUUGCUUCAUCAUGCAUGAUUACAUGCUCUGUUCACUGUGCCAAUUUGUGUUUAAAUUUUAAUGAGUUAGGGUGUUUGAUAGGUUAAAAAAAUAGUUCAUAUGUUAAAUAAGUCAAUCCCAAAUAGUACAGAGGUGCAGAUAUGUAUUUGGCCAUUUUAAAUUCUACAUUCUAUAGUUACUAGGCAAAAAGCUUCAACAAGUUUUUAGCAUGAGAAGACAUCCUAUAUCGAAUUCUGCAAAGCAUCCAAAGAAAUUCCAUACAAACUACACAGUUUCCUAAUUUAAAACACACAAUACAACUUCACACGAUGGUACAUGAUGAGGAAAGAAGCUAUUGAAACUAAAUCCAUAUUCAAGAAAUCUUAAUGUAUAAUUACCAAAAAGCAGCAAUAAAUGAUAGCCAUCUAUAAGUAAUAUUCACACAACUGAUGAUGCUACUUUGGAGAAAGGCAAGAAACGCAGAAAAUGAGGGAAAAAAAAAAUCAGAGGAACAAAAACAGAUUCUAGUAUAAAAACAAUCUUGAUACCCAAAAGAAGGAAUCAUAGCCACCAGCACCAUUGAAAGAGUACCAAACCCCAGAAAAACAAAAACAUUCCCGUUUCACCAAAGCCAAAUAGCCAAUCACAACAUCUAUUCCAACCACGACACUGAAUAAAUUGGCGAAUUAGAAAGGCACCUUUUCAAACGAGCUCUUAUUUAGUGACAAAAUCACCAAAAUGAACGGUGGCCAUUAGAAGGACCCAAUCACCGUAACCAAUCACAGAGUCGAAACAACAAAAAAGGAAAAUAUUAAGUUCGAUAAAAAUCGCAAAAAGAAGGACCUAGCAACUAACUAGCUGCAAAUUACGAUAUAAACCUGAAAACCCACCUAGAGAACUGCAUAAUCGGCCAGUAAUAAAACAUCAAAACCAAAAUCGAUCUACUCCAUUGAACGCAAACUAAUCUUUACGAACGCAGAAAGUUCAAGAAAAUCGCAGAUCAGCUAACCUGAGAAGCACAUCAAACAUAGAU